ACGGGGCCCGCACAAGCGGAGGAGCAUGUGGUUUAAUUCGAUGAUACGCGAGGAACCUUACCUGGGCUCGAACGUAAGAUGACUGUAGGUGAAAGCUUACAUCUCUUCGGAGCAUUUUUACGAGGUGCUGCAUGGUUGUCGUCAGCUCGUGCCGUGAGGUGUCGGGUUAAGCCCCAUAACGAGCGCAACCCUACCUUUAGUUGCCAUCAGGUAAUGCUGGGGACUCUAAAGGAACUGCCUACGCAAGUAGUGAGGAAGGCGGGGAUGACGUCAAAUCAGCACGGCCCUUACGUCCAGGGCUACACACGUGCUACAAUGGCCGAUACAGAGGGCAGCUACCUGGUGACAGGAUGCAAAUCUCCAAAGUCGGUCUCAGUUCGGAUCGGAGUCUGCAACCCGACUCCGUGAAGUUGGAUUCGCUAGUAGUCGCGCAUCAGCCAUGGCGCGGUGAAUACGUUCCCGGGCCUU
Molecule: ribosomal RNA, 468 nt
Filed under: uncultured Sphingobacteriales bacterium
Lineage: Bacteria; Pseudomonadati; Bacteroidota; Sphingobacteriia; Sphingobacteriales
Description: bacterial SSU rRNA
Rfam family: Bacterial small subunit ribosomal RNA
Source: RNAcentral